GCUUGUCUCAAAGAUUAAGCCAUGCAUGUCUAAGUAUAAGCGCCUUAUACUGUGAAACUGCGAAUGGCUCAUUAUAUCAGUAAUAGUUUAUUUGAUGGUCCCUUACUACCUGGAUACCCGUAGUAAUUCUAGAGCUAAUACAUGCACUACAUUCCCAACUGCUUUUGCGGGCGGGCUGCCUUUAUUAGAUCGAAACCAAUGCGGCGCAAGCCGGUGUUGUGGUGAUUCAUGAUAACUUUGGGCUGAUCGUAUGGCCUUGUGCCGACGACGUUUCCUUCGAAGGUGUGCCCUAUCAACUGUCGACUGUGAUAUAGACGCUCACAGUGGUUUUGACGGGUAACGGGGAAUCAGGGUUCGAUUCCGGAGAGGGAGCCUUAAAAACGGCUACCACAUCCAAGGAAGGCAGCAGG
This 410-nucleotide ribosomal RNA is filed under the name Tribonema aequale. RNAcentral describes it as "partial small subunit ribosomal RNA". It matches the Rfam family "Eukaryotic small subunit ribosomal RNA", at positions 30 to 432 of the family's 1831-position model. The record is from RNAcentral. Lineage: Eukaryota; Xanthophyceae; Tribonematales; Tribonemataceae.